AUAGCCUAACGGCUGAACCAGCAACUUGGAGGAAUGUAUAGCAAUAGCUAUUUGCACUAAAGAUUUUAGUGUAAAAUCGACUUUGUCGAAUAAAAUUCUGGAUAGAAUUAUGAUAAUGACAUUAUCUGUCCAUAAGUCUUGACCAAAUUACGUGCCAGCAGUCGCGGUAAUACGUAGAAGACAAGUGUUAUUCAUCUUUAAUAGGUUUAAAGGGUACUUAGACGGUAAAUAAAGCCUCCAAAAGGUACUAGUUUGCUAGAGUUUUAUGUGAAGGAGUUUUAAAGUACUACUGGUGUAGAGAUGAAAUUCAGUUAUACCUUACAUGGCACAGGUUAAGGCGAAAGCAUCUUCUUAUGUAAAAACUGACGUUGAAGGACGAAGGCUUUGUGUCUCGAACAGGAUUAGAUACCCUAGUAGUCUAAGCAGAAAAUGAUGAAUGUCAUAGAUUAGAUUUAAUUUGAUCUGUAAAUGAAAGUGUAAGCAUUCCACCUCAAGAGUAAUUUGGCAACAUUGGAACUGAAAUCAUUAGACCGUUUCUGAAACCAGUAGUGAAGUAUGUUGUUUAAUUUGAUAAUCCGCAAAAAACCUUACCACAAUUUGAAUAGAUAUAUUUUAUCAUACAAGCGUUGCACGGCUGUCUUCAGUUAAUGUCGUGAGACUUUGGUUAGUUCCAUUAAAUUAACGUAAACCCUUACUUUAUUUUUAAAAAAAGUAGUUCACCGCUAGAUUGGAUGUGAUAAUAGGAUCAAGACAAGUCAUCAUGACCUAAAUAUUGU
This 776-nucleotide ribosomal RNA is filed under the name Gallowayella borealis. RNAcentral describes it as "mitochondrial SSU rRNA". It matches the Rfam family "Bacterial small subunit ribosomal RNA", at positions 371 to 1210 of the family's 1533-position model. Lineage: Eukaryota; Fungi; Ascomycota; Lecanoromycetes; Teloschistales; Teloschistaceae. The record is from RNAcentral.